CAAGAAAAGGUAUGGUAUUUUUAUUGAAUACUCAACAAUGAGAUUACAAUCAAUAUAUAGACUAACUAGAUAUCCGAUAACUAUGGAAAGAGAUAAAUAUAGAAACUAAAUCAUAAUCAAACUAUAAUACUAGAAUAACUGAUUAUUCUAGAAAACUCUCGGUUCAAUAUUCCCCCGCAAGUUCAGGGCGGUCAGCAAUCUGUAACUUGGUUCGUAAGAAAUCGAAUUUUUGCGCGGGCAACGGUUUUGUAAAAAUAUCAGCAAUUUGUUCCUUCGUUGAUAUAAACUUCACGGUGAGAUUGCCCUGUGAGACCUGUUCACGAACAAAGUUGUAAUCGACUUCCACGUGUUUGGUGCGGGCAUGAAAUACUGGAUUAGCGGUGAGGUAGGUGGCACCAAGAUUGUCGCACCAAAGAGUAGGAGCUCCACUGUCCAAACCAAGUUCACGAAGGAGUGAUUUUAGCCAAAUCAGUUCUGCAACAGUAUCAGCGAUUGCUUUGUAUUCUGACUCAGUUGAAGAGCGAGAAACUGUUUUCUGCUUUUUAGCCGACCAGGAAACAAGGUUAGAACCCAGAUAAAUGGCAAAUCCCC
Molecule: long non-coding RNA, 591 nt
Filed under: Helianthus annuus (common sunflower)
Lineage: Eukaryota; Viridiplantae; Streptophyta; Magnoliopsida; Asterales; Asteraceae
Description: hypothetical non coding rna
Source: RNAcentral